Molecule: long non-coding RNA, 377 nt
Filed under: Homo sapiens (human)
Lineage: Eukaryota; Metazoa; Chordata; Mammalia; Primates; Hominidae
Description: HSALNT0332601
Source: RNAcentral
CAAUUGGAGAAACUGGUUAUUUUGCCAAGGCUUUGAUGGGAAUGGCGUGGUUCCCUUUAAGGAAGCAAAUUUGACUUAUAGAGCCAAUAAAAGCCCCUUGGGAAAACUGGCCUCAUACCUUGUCUACACAGUACUUGUACAGGGCUCCUGACCUAUGAUGGACCCUUGAAGGAAGAAAACAUCGAAGGAGGAAAGAGAAGGCUUUGACAUAAAUUGAGAGGAACAAGGAGAAAGAGAAUCUGCUUUAUUACCCAGAGGAUACAAUGAAGGAAGCUUGGGGUCAUCCUAAAUUCCUGAAUUUUCUCUAUUUUGCAAGAUCCAGCCAAUAAUCAAGUCUAGUCACUUUUUCCUCCUCGUAAGUAUCUUCUGUACCUUCG